AUUGAACGCUGGCGGCAUGCUUUACACAUGCAAGCCGAACGGUAACAGGCCGCAAGGUGCUGACGAGUGGCGAACGGGUGCGUAAUGCAUCGGAACGUGCCCAGUCGUGGGGGAUAACUACUCGAAAGAGUAGCUAAUACCGCAUACGAUCUAUGGAUGAAAGCGGGGGACCGUAAGGCCUCGCGCGAUUGGAGCGGCCGAUGUCAGAUUAGGUAGUUGGUGGGGUAAAGGCUCACCAAGCCAACGAUCUGUAGCUGGUCUGAGAGGACGACCAGCCACACUGGGACUGAGACACGGCCCAGACUCCUACGGGAGGCAGCAGUGGGGAAUUUUGGACAAUGGGCGCAAGCCUGAUCCAGCAAUGCCGCGUGCAGGAAGAAGGCCUUCGGGUUGUAAACUGCUUUUGUACGGAACGAAACGGCUCUGGUUAAUACCCGGGGCUAAUGACGGUACCGUAAGAAUAAGCACCGGCUAACUACGUG
This 482-nucleotide ribosomal RNA is filed under the name uncultured bacterium. Its description in RNAcentral is "partial 16S ribosomal RNA". It matches the Rfam family "Bacterial small subunit ribosomal RNA", at positions 30 to 507 of the family's 1533-position model. The record is from RNAcentral.